This 133-nucleotide ribosomal RNA is filed under the name uncultured bacterium. RNAcentral's name for it is "partial 16S ribosomal RNA". The record is from RNAcentral.
ACGGUACCGUCAUGGUCCCAGGGUAUUAUCCCGAGACUUUUCGUUCCGUACAAAAGCAGUUUACAACCCGAAGGCCUUCAUCCUGCACGCGGCAUUGCUGGAUCAGGCUUUCGCCCAUUGUCCAAAAUUCCCC